GGCGCCGUAGCUUAGUUCGGUAGAGCACCAGUCUCAUGAGCUGGGGAUCGGGGGUUCAAAUCCCCCUGGCGCCA
RNAcentral lists this transfer RNA (74 nucleotides) under archaeon. RNAcentral describes it as "tRNA-Met". It matches the Rfam family "tRNA". Rfam says of the family: Transfer RNA (tRNA) molecules are approximately 80 nucleotides in length. Their secondary structure includes four short double-helical elements and three loops (D, anti-codon, and T loops). The record is from RNAcentral.